Long non-coding RNA from Monopterus albus (swamp eel), 1105 nucleotides. RefSeq lists it as uncharacterized. The record is from RefSeq and is a predicted model, not a curated record. The transcript is spliced from 4 exons. Lineage: Eukaryota; Metazoa; Chordata; Actinopteri; Synbranchiformes; Synbranchidae.
CCUUAUGAUAAUGAAGUCAUGUGUGACUAGCUUAGCUUAGCCCACUCAGAUCCACCUCACUAUGAUCUUUUCAUAUUUAAAAUAUAAAGUGUAACAUCUAUGUUUGGCUACUUCAGUGAUUAGGUUAGCUGGCUUGUAAAUGUAUUUCAGUUUGGUGAAUAACAUGCUCACUUGAUAAGAUAAGAAGUUGGACCCCCUGCUGUAAAUCUGAGAACAUUGGAUGCAUCUGACCCUCAGCAGCUCACCUUAAACCUGUGAGCAUGUGGUGGCAGAACAGUGCGCACCUCCCGUUAGUGAAGUCACUUCACUGGGAAGUACGCAUCUGUUGGAUGGGAUGGAGCGCCUUGGUCAAGAGAACUACCGCUCAGUGGAUUCUUGGCAAAAAGAUGGAACUGAACAGAGUUUUCAUCAUUGCUGUGUGAAACAUGCUUCCUCUGCCGAAUGAAUUCCAAGAUUUUUUUUAUUAAUUUACUGAUUUAAUGCUUUACCUACAAAAGAAUCAUAUUCAGGCCAUGUUCUUUUAAACUGCGGGAAUCUGUAGGAGCAGCUUAAUGACCUGUGUUCAUGUUAUCACUCCUCUUGUCCAUAGAAAUUUAGGUGAUCAAAUCUUUUUUGAAGAGUUUUUUUUUUUGUGUUUCACUGGAAUGAUGACAGUGGACAAAAAUAGGAAAUGUGAGGAUGACAUGCAAUAACGAUCCCUGGCUCUAAUUCACAUGGAAGACAUGAGUGACAAACAGUCCACCAGGAUGUUCAUGUUUAUUUUUUCUGUUAGCUGCAAAUUAUACUGUGUGACAGGCCUUAACUAUAUAUUAGGGACCAGUGAAAUGAUGUCCUCUAUUUCACACCACUGACAGAUUACUAAUUCAGACUGCAGUAUAAAAAUAGCAUGUGACAUCUAAUGAUACAUUAAGAUGUGUAAUGCUGAAUCCUUGUUUGCUACCACAUUUAAUCAUGUCUGUUACAUAUAUUAAUGAAACCUCAGUCGCUUAACAGAGAACUGAAAAUGCACAUGUAAUAAAAAAUAGCUUUAGAACAUCAUCUUGUCUGUGAACAAGUGUGAACAUCCUGUCUUUCAGUUUAUGUAUCAAUUCUCAUGGAGAUAACU